AGAUGUGAGGGUAAUCUGGCUGUGACAUGUCACCCCACUGAUCACUAGGGUUGAUUCAGCUGAUCUGGCUGGCGAGGUGGGUAUCCCCUUCCUCCCUCAGUGCUCCAUGUGCAUCCUCCUGAAGCUGUGUGCUUGGUCGAAGAUGACAACCAGCCCUCAAUAGAGGAGGACCGUUCCUCUAUCAAGGGUAUACAAGUAGCUGUGCUCCCCUGCAACAACCUCCAAACAAGCUCUGAAGGACUAGUACCUCACCCCUGAAUUACGGAGCUUCAUCCCUCUCAGGUAAACAUCACAGCACGGUGUCAGGCACUUCCAAAAUCACAAACCCUACUCUG
RNAcentral lists this small nuclear RNA (335 nucleotides) under Octodon degus (degu). RNAcentral describes it as "7SK RNA (ENSODEG00000024501.1)". It matches the Rfam family "7SK RNA". From Rfam's summary of the family: 7SK was discovered as an abundant small nuclear RNA in the mid-70s but a possible function has only recently been suggested. The record is from RNAcentral. Lineage: Eukaryota; Metazoa; Chordata; Mammalia; Rodentia; Octodontidae.